Cucumis sativus (cucumber) is the source of this 277-nucleotide long non-coding RNA. RefSeq lists it as uncharacterized. NCBI's taxonomy places the organism in Eukaryota, Viridiplantae, Streptophyta, Magnoliopsida, Cucurbitales, Cucurbitaceae. The record is from RefSeq and is a predicted model, not a curated record. The transcript is spliced from 2 exons.
UUUUGGUAGCUUACAAUGUGUUUGAUGAAAUGCCUCAAUGAAGCAUUUGGUUGAUUUUUGAUUGAUUUUUGUUCGUUCGAAUUAAGAAAUCAAGGCCAAGGGAGAUGUCAUGGCUAUGGGCUGAAGCUUUGAGAAAAAGAGAAUGAAAAAUGAAAUUUGCUUUGAUUGAAGGAUAGAGGGAAGUGAUUAUUGAUAAUUAUAGGUAUGUUCUCUCUCCCUUUCUUACAAUAAGGAUAGUAACAACAAAAAUUACUACAUGUUCUAUAUUGAAAGGAAA